RNAcentral lists this ribosomal RNA (448 nucleotides) under uncultured bacterium. RNAcentral describes it as "bacterial SSU rRNA". It matches the Rfam family "Bacterial small subunit ribosomal RNA", at positions 328 to 793 of the family's 1533-position model. The record is from RNAcentral.
AAGCCAGACUCCUACGGGAGGCAGCAGUGGGGAAUAUUGCACAAUGGGGGAAACCCUGAUGCAGCGACGCCGCGUGAGUGAAGAAGUAAUUCGUUAUGUAAAGCUCUAUCAGCAGGGAAGAAAAUGACGGUACCUGAGUAAGAAGCCCCGGCUAACUACGUGCCAGCAGCCGCGGUAAUACGUAGGGGGCAAGCGUUAUCCGGAUUUACUGGGUGUAAAGGGAGCGUAGACGGCAGUGCAAGUCUGGAGUGAAAGGCGGGGGCUCAACCCCCGGACUGCUCUGGAAACUGCGGCGCUGGAGUACGGGAGGGGCAGGCGGAAUUCCUGGUGUAGCGGUGAAAUGCGUAGAUAUCAGGAGGAACACCGGCGGCGAAGGCGGCCUGCUGGACCGUGACUGACGUUGAGGCUCGAGAGCGUGGGGAGCAAACAGGAUUAGAUACCCCAGUAU